This is a long non-coding RNA of Anas platyrhynchos (mallard), 955 nucleotides long. RefSeq lists it as uncharacterized. The record is from RefSeq and is a predicted model, not a curated record. NCBI's taxonomy places the organism in Eukaryota, Metazoa, Chordata, Aves, Anseriformes, Anatidae.
UAAUCUGAGAUAAUGAAUUUGUCACAUUUAAUAAAAUAUACUACCUGGUCAUCAUAAACAUGUAUGUGGUUAGCACAGAAUGUCACAACAACCAGAAAAUUAUUUGUCACUCUCAACAGAAACUUGUAUAAGAUCAUAAGAAAGGAGACCUGGUCAUAUACACACAGAUUGUUACCUUUUUGCAUGUUACCUCUUUUUUUUUUUUUGCUGUGGAGGUACUUUACGAUGUGAUUUCAGAUCUGAUUAAAUUCAGUUCUGUGCCCUUUACAGAGUACAACAUUACUGGGAAGUCACCACAACAGAAAACAAAGUAGGGGUUAAGUUUUACUCUCAUGAUCAAACAAACAUUACUGAAUCCUUUCAAGAGUUAAACACCAGCCUUUCCUCCUACCUGCAACCAAGAUGAAAGCUUCUGAAAUGUAUUUCAUAGCUCAGUUGCAUCAACUAAACAUAUUUUCUGCAGAGAUUUAGGCUGGAACUCGCACUCUCCCCUUCUGCUAAUGCCAUAAAAACAUAGUGAGAAAGCCCAGCACUUCCUAUUGUGCAAGGAUAUAAACUCCACAGGGAACUGAGAGCAGUAAAGGAAACGUCCACCUCAAGAAUGUUCAAUAGAGGAAAGAAAACCUUCCUGUUCAUCACAGGCUUUCAACUAAAUUACUGAAAGGUCUGAAAAAAGUAACCAUGUGUAUGCAGUACAGAUCACUAUGAAUGCAGGGUGUGGGCAAAACCUGUUCUCCAAACCAGGAGUGUUCUCUACACUAUUCUGGUUGAGAACAUGCAAUGGAAAACAUAAAGGAACAAGCAUUCCUCCCGUCUCAUCUGUGUGAGUACCUGAGAUGUGAGAAACAGCCCAAGGACUCCUCCGAUCCACCACAACCACGUAAGUAGAUGUUGGAUGUCAACUGAACAAAUGAAGCCAUCACAGUGCUGCCUUGACUUGCGUGCAGGAUAAAAU